This 218-nucleotide ribosomal RNA is filed under the name uncultured bacterium. RNAcentral's name for it is "partial 16S ribosomal RNA". It matches the Rfam family "Bacterial small subunit ribosomal RNA", at positions 1282 to 1500 of the family's 1533-position model. The record is from RNAcentral.
UACGUCCCAGUUCAGAUUGCAGUCUGCAACUCGACUGCAUGAAGUCGGAAUCGCUAGUAAUCGCGGAUCAGCAUGCCGCGGUGAAUACGUUCCCGGGCCUUGUACACACCGCCCGUCACACCAUGAGAGUCGGGAACACCCGAAGUCCGUAGCCUAACCGCAAGGGGGCGCGGCCGAAGGUGGGUUCGAUAAUUGGGGUGAAGUCGUAACAAGGUAUC